CAUGCAAGUCGAGCGCGAAUAGGGGCAACCCUUAGUAGAGCGGCGCACGGGUGCGUAACACGUGGAUAAUCUGCCUGGAUGCCCGGGAUAACCAGUCGAAAGAUUGGCUAAUACCGGAUAAGCCCACGGCCUCUUCGGAGACUGAGGGAAAAGGUGGCCUCUGUAUACAAGCUAUCACAACCAGAUGAGUCCGCGGCCCAUCAGCUAGUUGGCGGGGUAAUGGCCCACCAAGGCAACGACGGGUAGCUGGUCUGAGAGGACGAUCAGCCACACUGGAACUGAGACACGGUCCAGACUCCUACGGGAGGCAGCAGUGGGGAAUUUUGCGCAAUGGGCGAAAGCCUGACGCAGCAACGCCGCGUGUGUGAUGAAGGUCUUUGGAUUGUAAAGCACUUUCGACCGGGACGAAAACCCGUUGGCUAACAUCCAACGGCUUGACUGUACCGGGAGAAGAAGCACCGGCUAACUCUGUGCCAGCAGCCGCGGUAAUACAGAGGGUGCAAGCGUUGUUCGGAAUUAUUGGGCGUAAAGCGCGUGUAGGCGGCGUGACAAGUCGGGUGUGAAAGCCCUCAGCUCAACUGAGGAAGUGCGCCCGAAACUGUCGUGCUUGAGUGCCGGAGAGGGUGGCGGAAUUCCCCAAGUAGAGGUGAAAUUCGUAGAUNUGGGGAGGAACACCGGUGGCGA
Molecule: ribosomal RNA, 684 nt
Filed under: uncultured bacterium
Lineage: Bacteria
Description: bacterial SSU rRNA
Rfam family: Bacterial small subunit ribosomal RNA
Source: RNAcentral